RNAcentral lists this ribosomal RNA (434 nucleotides) under uncultured Oscillospiraceae bacterium. Its description in RNAcentral is "partial 16S ribosomal RNA". It matches the Rfam family "Bacterial small subunit ribosomal RNA", at positions 341 to 792 of the family's 1533-position model. Lineage: Bacteria; Bacillati; Bacillota; Clostridia; Eubacteriales; Oscillospiraceae. The record is from RNAcentral.
ACGGAAGGCAGCAGUGGGGAAUAUUGGACAAUGGGGGAAACCCUGAUCCAGCGACGCCGCGUGAGUGAAGAAGUAUUUCGGUAUGUAAAGCUCUAUCAGCACGGAAGAAAAUGACGGUACUUGACUAAGAAGCUCCGGCUAAAUACGUGCCAGCAGCCGCGGUAAUACGUAUGGAGCAAGCGUUAUCCGGAUUUACUGGGUGUAAAGGGAGCGUAGACGGCAAAGCAAGUCUGAAGUGAAAUCUAUGGGCUCAACCCAUAAACUGCUUUGGAAACUGUUUAGCUAGAGUGCAGGAGAGGUAAGUGGAAUUCCUAGUGUAGCGGUGAAAUGCGUAGAUAUUAGGAGGAACACCAGUGGCGAAGGCGGCUUACUGGACUGUAACUGACGUUGAGGCUCGAAAGCGUGGGGAGCAAACAGGAUUAGAUACCCUGGUA